AGGCUUAGUAUUACUGAUGUCGUACAUGCGGGAAGAAAAGAGAGAAAGAGAUGAAGAAAUAGAGAGGAGAUAGAGAAUAGAGAAGAAUAAUAGAAAGUUUUGAGGGAUCCUAUCAAAGUCCUCACCCUCGCGUGGACUGUUUGUUUGUUUGUUGUCUGGGUUAUGUUUUUACCCAUCACUGAAAAAAGGAGGUUAUCUGAGCUACGUGUUCACUCAGCAUCGAUGAGGGAUGUUGAUUGGGCUUUGUGUUCACUCAUCAACAAAGAAGGAUGUCGUCUGGGCUACGUGUUCACCCAUGAUUGAAGAAUGAUGUUGAGGGAUGAUUUUAACAUCUAU
This 336-nucleotide long non-coding RNA is filed under the name Amborella trichopoda. RNAcentral's name for it is "long non-coding RNA (ATRI_LNC005141)". Lineage: Eukaryota; Viridiplantae; Streptophyta; Magnoliopsida; Amborellales; Amborellaceae. The record is from RNAcentral.